Long non-coding RNA from Pelobates fuscus (common spadefoot toad), 249 nucleotides. RefSeq lists it as uncharacterized. Lineage: Eukaryota; Metazoa; Chordata; Amphibia; Anura; Pelobatidae. The transcript is spliced from 2 exons. The record is from RefSeq and is a predicted model, not a curated record.
ACUGAGAGAGAGAGACAGCCAGUCCAGAGACUGAGAGAGAGACAGCCAGUCCAGAGACUGAGAGAGAGACAGCCAGUCCAGAGACUGAGAGAGAGACAGCCAGUCCAGAGACUGAGAGAGAGACAGCCAGUCCAGAGACUGAGAGAGAGACAGCCAGUCCAGAGACUGAGAGAGAGACAGCCAGUCCAGAGACUGAGAAAAAGAGACAGCAAGACUGAGAGAAAGAGACAGCCAGGCCAAAAAAAGAGA